AUACGGAGGAUGCGAGCGUUAUCCGGAUUUAUUGGGUUUAAAGGGUGCGUAGGCGGUUUUUUAAGUCAGCGGUGAAACGCAAGGGCUCAACCCUUGACCUGCCGUUGAAACUGGAGGACUUGAAUGCGGAUGCUGCGGGAGGAGUGUGUGGUGUAGCGGUGAAAUGCAUAGAUAUCACACAGAACACCGAUUGCGAAGGCAUCUCACAAAUCCGUGAUUGACGCUGAGGCACGAAAGUGUGGGGAUCAAACAGGAUUAGAUACCCUGGUAGUCCACGCAGUAAACGAUGAUGACUAACUGUCGGCGAUACACAGUCGGUGGCCAAGCGAAAGCGAUAAGUCAUCCGCCUGGGGAGUACGACCGCAAGGUUGAAACUCAAAUGAAUUGACGGGG
RNAcentral lists this ribosomal RNA (393 nucleotides) under uncultured bacterium. RNAcentral's name for it is "partial 16S ribosomal RNA". It matches the Rfam family "Bacterial small subunit ribosomal RNA", at positions 523 to 918 of the family's 1533-position model. The record is from RNAcentral.